The sequence is a transfer RNA, 109 nucleotides long. It matches the Rfam family "tRNA". From Rfam's summary of the family: Transfer RNA (tRNA) molecules are approximately 80 nucleotides in length. Their secondary structure includes four short double-helical elements and three loops (D, anti-codon, and T loops).
GGCACUAUGGCGGAGUGGUUAACGCGGUGCCCUGCUAUUAAUUAAUUCUUCGUAAGAACAUAGUGAGGCAUUUCCUUCGGGAGCGCAGGUUCGAAUCCUGCUGGUGUCG